CAGCCCUUGACAUCCCGGUCGCGGUUUCCAGAGAUGGAUUCCUUCAGUUCGGCUGGACCGGUGACAGGUGCUGCAUGGCUGUCGUCAGCUCGUGUCGUGAGAUGUUGGGUUAAGUCCCGCAACGGGCGCAACCCUCGCCCUUAGUUGCCAUCAUUAAGUUGGGCACUCUAAGGGGACUGCCGGUGAUAAGCCGAGAGGAAGGUGGGGAUGACGUCAAGUCCUCAUGGCCCUUACGGGCUGGGCUACACACGUGCUACAAUGGUGGUGACAGUGGGCAGCGAGACCGCGAGGUCGAGCUAAUCUCCAAAAGCCAUCUCAGUUCGGAUUGUUCUCUGCAACUCGAGAGCAUGAAGUUGGAAUCGCUAGUAAUCGCGGAUCAGCAUGCCGCGGUGAAUACGUUCCC
This 403-nucleotide ribosomal RNA is filed under the name uncultured bacterium. RNAcentral describes it as "bacterial SSU rRNA". It matches the Rfam family "Bacterial small subunit ribosomal RNA", at positions 975 to 1375 of the family's 1533-position model. The record is from RNAcentral.